UCGUCUGCCCAAGGAUGGGUCUGCGGCCUAUCAGGUAGUAGUGGGUGUAAUGUACCUACUAGCCUACGACGGGUACGGGUUGUGAGAGCAAGAGCCCGGAGAUGGAUUCUGAGACAUGAAUCCAGGCCCUACGGGGCGCAGCAGGCGCGAAAACUUUACAAUGCGGGAAACCGUGAUAAGGGGACACCGAGUGCCAGCAUCCUAUGCUGGCUGUCCGGGUGUGUAAAAUACACCUGUUAGCAAGGGCCGGGCAAGACCGGUGCCAGCCGCCGCGGUAACACCGGCGGCCCGAGUGGUGAUCGUGAUUAUUGGGUCUAAAGGGUCCGUAGCCGGUUUGGUCAGUCCUCCGGGAAAUCUGACAGCUCAACUGUUAGGCUUUCGGAGGAUACUGCCAGACUUGGAACCGGGAGAGGUAAGAGGUACCACAGGGGUAGGAGUGAAAUCUUGUAAUCCCUGUGGGACCACCUGUGGCGAAGGCGUCUUACCAGAACGGGUUCGACGGUGAGGGACGAAAGCUGGGGGCACGAACCGGAUUAGAUACCCGGGUAGUCCCAGCCGUAAAUGAUGCUCGCUAGGUGUCAGGCAUGGCGCGACCGUGUCUGGCGCCGCAGGGAAGCCGUGAAGCGAGCCACCUGGGAAGUACGACCGCAAGGCUGAAACUUAAAGGAAUUGGCGGGGGAGCACAACAACGG
This 692-nucleotide ribosomal RNA is filed under the name uncultured archaeon. Its description in RNAcentral is "bacterial SSU rRNA". It matches the Rfam family "Archaeal small subunit ribosomal RNA", at positions 195 to 887 of the family's 1478-position model. The record is from RNAcentral.